UACGUAGGGUGCGAGCGUUGUCCGGAAUUAUUGGGCGUAAAGAGCUCGUAGGCGGUCUGUCGCGUCUGCUGUGAAAUCCCGAGGCUCAACCUCGGGCCUGCAGUGGGUACGGGCAGACUAGAGUGCGGUAGGGGAGAAUGGAAUUCCUGGUGUAGCGGUGGAAUGCGCAGAUAUCAGGAGGAACACCGAUGGCGAAGGCAGUUCUCUGGGCCGUAACUGACGCUGAGGAGCGAAAGCGUGGGGAGCGAACAGG
RNAcentral lists this ribosomal RNA (253 nucleotides) under uncultured bacterium. RNAcentral describes it as "partial 16S ribosomal RNA". It matches the Rfam family "Bacterial small subunit ribosomal RNA", at positions 524 to 776 of the family's 1533-position model. The record is from RNAcentral.